This 253-nucleotide ribosomal RNA is filed under the name uncultured bacterium. RNAcentral's name for it is "partial 16S ribosomal RNA". It matches the Rfam family "Bacterial small subunit ribosomal RNA", at positions 524 to 776 of the family's 1533-position model. The record is from RNAcentral.
UACAGAGGUCCCAAGCGUUGUUCGGAUUCAUUGGGCGUAAAGGGUGCGUAGGUGGCGCCGUAAGUCGGGUGUGAAAUUUCGGAGCUUAACUCCGAAACUGCAUUCGAUACUGCGGUGCUUGAGGACUGGAGAGGAGACUGGAAUUCAUGGUGUAGCAGUGAAAUGCGUAGAGAUCAUGAGGAAGACCAGUGGCGAAGGCGGGUCUCUGGACAGUUCCUAACACUGAGGCACGAAGGCCAGGGGAGCAAACGGG